ACCUGGGUGGCUCAGCGGUUGAGCAUCUGCCUUUGGCUCAGGGUUCAGGGUAUGAUCCCUGUCCAGGGA
RNAcentral lists this transfer RNA (69 nucleotides) under Canis lupus familiaris (dog). It matches the Rfam family "tRNA". Rfam says of the family: Transfer RNA (tRNA) molecules are approximately 80 nucleotides in length. Their secondary structure includes four short double-helical elements and three loops (D, anti-codon, and T loops). RNAcentral also lists the same sequence under 1 other name. Lineage: Eukaryota; Metazoa; Chordata; Mammalia; Carnivora; Canidae. The record is from Rfam by way of RNAcentral.